Molecule: ribosomal RNA, 253 nt
Filed under: uncultured bacterium
Lineage: Bacteria
Description: partial 16S ribosomal RNA
Rfam family: Bacterial small subunit ribosomal RNA
Source: RNAcentral
UACGGGGGGGGCGAGCGUUGUUCGGAAUUACUGGGCGUAAAGGGUUUGUAGGUGGCCUGCUAAGUCAGACGUGAAAUCCCUCAGCUUAACUGGGGAACUGCGUCUGAUACUGGCGGGCUUGAGGACAGGAGAGGAACGCGGAAUUCCAGGUGUAGCGGUGAAAUGCGUAGAUAUCUGGAGGAACACCAAUGGCGAAGGCAGCUCGCUGGGACGGUACUGACGCUGAGGCGCGAAAGCGUGGGGAGCAAACAGG